GAAGCACAUAAUUAGAACUUUUGGCUCUUUUUAUGGAGCCAGGAGUGUCGAAUGUGUGCAAUAUAAAAAGGAAGGAUUCGCUAACACCACUCGAGUUAUUUGCUCAAUGAGUGGGGUUUGAUAGUAGACCUUCCGACAUGU
Molecule: small nucleolar RNA, 141 nt
Organism: Haliotis rubra (blacklip abalone)
Lineage: Eukaryota; Metazoa; Mollusca; Gastropoda; Lepetellida; Haliotidae
Source: RefSeq, a predicted model, not a curated record